Molecule: ribosomal RNA, 440 nt
Filed under: uncultured bacterium
Lineage: Bacteria
Description: partial 16S ribosomal RNA
Rfam family: Bacterial small subunit ribosomal RNA
Source: RNAcentral
CCUACGGGUGGCAGCAGUAGGGAAUAUUGCUCAAUGGGGGAAACCCUGAAGCAGCAACGCCGCGUGGAGGAUGAAGGUUUUAGGAUUGUAAACUCCUUUUGUGAGAGAGGAUAAUGACGGUAUCUCACGCCUCAUCACCGGCUAACUCCGUGCCAGCCGCCGCGGUCAUACGGAGGGUACAAGCGUUACUCGGAAUCACUGGGCGUAAAGAGUGCGCAGGCGGGCUUGUAAGUCAGAUGUGAAAUCCUGUAGCUUAACUAAAGAACUGCAUUUGAAACUAUGAGGCUAGAGUGUGGGAGAGGUAGGUAGAAUUCCUGGUGUAGGGGUAAAAUCCGUAGAUAUCAAGAGGAAUACUCAGGGCGAAGGCGACCCACUGGAAAAUGACUGACGCUCAUGUACGAAAGCGUGGGGAGCAAACAGGAUUAGAUACCCGGGUAGUC